Molecule: ribosomal RNA, 468 nt
Filed under: uncultured bacterium
Lineage: Bacteria
Description: partial 16S ribosomal RNA
Rfam family: Bacterial small subunit ribosomal RNA
Source: RNAcentral
GACGAACGCUGGCGGCGUGCUUAACACAUGCAAGUCGAACGGAAAGGCCCUGCUUUUGUGGGGUGCUCGAGUGGCGAACGGGUGAGUAACACGUGAGUAACCUGCCCUUGACUUUGGGAUAACUUCAGGAAACUGGGGCUAAUACCGGAUAGGAGCUCCUGCUGCAUGGUGGGGGUUGGAAAGUUUCGGCGGUUGGGGAUGGACUCGCGGCUUAUCAGCUUGUCGGUGGGGUAGUGGCUUACCAAGGCUUUGACGGGUAGCCGGCCUGAGAGGGUGACCGGCCACAUUGGGACUGAGAUACGGCCCAGACUCCUACGGGAGGCAGCAGUGGGGCAUAUUGCACAAUGGGCGGAAGCCUGAUGCAGCAACGCCGCGUGCGGGAUGACGGCCUUCGGGUUGUAAACCGCUUUCGCCUGUGACGAAGCGUGAGUGACGGUAAUGGGUAAAGAAGCACCGGCUAACUACGUG